CAUGGGGGCUAUAAUGCAGUCGAGCGGACAGAUGGGAGCUUGCUCCCUGAAGUCAGCGGCGGACGGGUGAGUAACACGUGGGCAACCUGCCUGUAAGACUGGGAUAACUCCGGGAAACCGGGGCUAAUACCGGAUAAUUCUUUCCCUCACAUGAGGGAAAGCUGAAAGAUGGUUUCGGCUAUCACUUACAGAUGGGCCCGCGGCGCAUUAGCUAGUUGGUGAGGUAACGGCUCACCAAGGCAACGAUGCGUAGCCGACCUGAGAGGGUGAUCGGCCACACUGGGACUGAGACACGGCCCAGACUCCUACGGGAGGCAGCAGUAGGGAAUCUUCCGCAAUGGACGAAAGUCUGACGGAGCAACGCCGCGUGAGUGAUGAAGGUUUUCGGAUCGUAAAACUCUGUUGUUAGGGAAGAACAAGUACCGGAGUAACUGCCGGUACCUUGACGGUACCUAACCAGAAAGCCACGGCUAACUACGUGCCAGCAGCCGCGGUAAUACGUAGGUGGCAAGCGUUGUCCGGAAUUAUUGGGCGUAAAGCGCGCGCAGGCGGUUCCUUAAGUCUGAUGUGAAAGCCUCUCGGCUCACCCGGGGAGGGUCAUUGGAAAACUGGGGAACUUGAGUGCAGAAGAGAAGAGUGAAAUUCUACGUGUAGCGGUGAAAUGCGUAGAGAUGUGGAGGAACACUAGUUGGCCGAAGCGACUCCUUUGGUCUGUAACUGACGCUGAGGCGCCGAAAGGCGUGGGGAGCAAACAGGAUUAGAUACUCCUGGUAGUCCACCGCCGUAACGAUGAGUGCUAGUGGUUAGAGGGUUUCCGGCCCUUUUAGUGCUGCAGCAGACCGCAAUAGCACUCCUGCCUGGGGAGUACUGACCGCAGCUGGAACUCCAAGGAAUUGACCGGGCCUGCACACAAG
This 914-nucleotide ribosomal RNA is filed under the name Bacillus subtilis. RNAcentral's name for it is "bacterial SSU rRNA". It matches the Rfam family "Bacterial small subunit ribosomal RNA", at positions 43 to 929 of the family's 1533-position model. The record is from RNAcentral. Lineage: Bacteria; Bacillati; Bacillota; Bacilli; Caryophanales; Bacillaceae.